ACAGAGGGGGCAAGCGUUAUUCGGAAUUAUUGGGCGUAAAGGGCGCGUAGGCGGUGUCUUAAGUGAGACGUGUAAUCCCCGAGCUUAACUUGGGAACUGCAUAUCAGACUGGGUAGCUAGAGUAGUGGAGAGGGUGUUAGAAUUCCAGGUGUAGUGGUGAGAUGCGUAGAGAUGUGGAGGAAUACCAGUGGCGAAGGCGGCCAUCUGGACAUUAAGUGACGCUGAGGCGCCAAACUGUGGGGAGCAAACAG
RNAcentral lists this ribosomal RNA (251 nucleotides) under uncultured prokaryote. RNAcentral describes it as "partial 16S rRNA". It matches the Rfam family "Bacterial small subunit ribosomal RNA", at positions 525 to 775 of the family's 1533-position model. The record is from RNAcentral.